RNAcentral lists this unclassified non-coding RNA (337 nucleotides) under soil metagenome. RNAcentral's name for it is "partial contains 5.8S ribosomal RNA, internal transcribed spacer 2, and large subunit ribosomal RNA". The stretch from base 1 to 120 matches the Rfam family "5.8S ribosomal RNA", at positions 35 to 154 of the family's 154-position model. The record is from RNAcentral.
GAUGAAGAACGUAGCGAAAUGCGAUAAGUAAUGUGAAUUGCAGAAUUCAGUGAAUCAUCGAAUCUUUGAACGCACAUUGCGCCCGCCAGCAUUCUGGCGGGCAUGCCUGUUCGAGCGUCAUUUCAACCCUCAAGCUCUGCUUGGUGUUGGGGCCCUACGGUUGACGUAGGCCCUUAAAGGUAGUGGCGGACCCUCUCGGAGCCUCCUUUGCGUAGUAACUAACGUCUCGCAUUGGGAUUCGGAGGGACUCUUGCCGUAAAACCCCCAAAUUUUCUAAUGGUUGACCUCGGAUCAGGUAGGAAUACCCGCUGAACUUAAGCAUAUCAAUAAGGGAGGA